Molecule: ribosomal RNA, 388 nt
Filed under: uncultured bacterium
Lineage: Bacteria
Description: bacterial SSU rRNA
Rfam family: Bacterial small subunit ribosomal RNA
Source: RNAcentral
GACGAACGCUGGCGGCGUGCUUAACACAUGCAAGUCGAGCGGUAAGGCCCUUUCGGGGGUACACGAGCGGCGAACGGGUGAGUAACACGUGGGUGACCUGCCCUCAGCUCUGGGAUAAGCCUGGGAAACUGGGUCUAAUACCGGAUAUGACUCCAUGACGCAUGUUGUGGGGUGGAAAGCCUUGUGCGGCUGGGGGAUGGGCCCGCGGCCUAUCAGCUUGUUGGUGGGGUGAGGCCUACCAAGGCGGCGACGGGUAGCCGGCCUGAGAGGGCGACCGGCCACACUGGGACUGAGACACGGCCCAGACUCCUGCGGGAGGCAGCAGUGGGGAAUCUUGCGCAAUGGGCGAAAGCCUGACGCAGCGACGCCGCGUGAGGGAUGACGGCCU